CCUACGGGCGGCAGCAGUGGGGGAUAUUGCACAAUGGGGGGAACUCUGAUGCAGCGACGCCGCGUGGGGGAAGGAGGGCUUCGGCAUGUAAAGCCCUAUCGGCAGGGAAGAAGAAAGACGGUACCUGACUAAUAAGCUCCGGCUAACUACGUGCCAGCAGCCGCGGUAAUACGUAGGGGGCGAGCGUUAUCCGGAUUCACUGGGUGUAAAGGGAGCGUAGACGGACAUGCAAGCCAGGGGUGAAAGCCCGGGGCGCAACCCCGGGACUGCCCUUGAAACUGCAUGGCUGGAGUGCGGGAGGGGAAAGCUGAAUUCCUGGUGUAGCGGUGAAAUGCGUAGAUAUUAGGAGGAACACCAGUGGCGAAGGCGACUUACUGGACUGUAACUGACGUUGAGGCUCGAAAGCGUGGGGAGCAAACAGGAUUAGAUACCCUAGUAGUC
This 441-nucleotide ribosomal RNA is filed under the name uncultured bacterium. RNAcentral describes it as "partial 16S ribosomal RNA". It matches the Rfam family "Bacterial small subunit ribosomal RNA", at positions 338 to 795 of the family's 1533-position model. The record is from RNAcentral.